GUGGAGUUUAAAAGGUGAAACAGUGAUACAGGGGUUCUUGGAGCUAAGAACAUUCUAGCAAUGCUAUAGUAACAGUGUUGAUGGAAGCUAUUAAGCUCUUAUCUUCCAGGCCACAGGAUAGAGAAACAGAAAAUACAGAGAUGGGAGACCAUGUGCUUAAAGGCUGAAAUGAGCUGAAGGUUAAAAGAUAAUAAGGACACAGAGUAACCUGAACUAAAUGACGACUGUGCAGGAGAAAUGCGUGAGCUGGUUACUCAGAGAACGUUCCUGGAAGAGAGAACCUAAUAUUUACUAAGUGCUUAUGAAGUAAUGGACUUUGGGCCCUUUGCCUGCUUUUUCUCAUGGAUUGAAAGGUAGAUUCUUGAUAAGAUAAUGCACAUGGAAAAGAAUUAUUGGUAGCACAGAAGCUGGUUGUAUAAUGCAUUUGCCAGCAGUGUGGAAAUCAAAAUGAAGACGCCAGAUGACUCCACAAGGCCAAAUAAGGACUUCAGGUGUAAGGAGGAACCACAAACUUUUUUUUUUUUUUUUGAGAGAAUUCUUUGUCUUCAACCAUUGGACUUAAGAGAAAGAUAUCCUAUAUUGGGGAAAGCAAUGUGAUUACUAAACACAUUCAAGCAUUAUGCUACAGACUAUAGUCUAGAGGAGGCAGAACCAAGGGCGCAUGCAGGGCGAGCUGGAAGAAUGAUUGCUGUGGAGAAGAGCAUUGGUGUAAUGUAAAGGCAGAUCUCAUUAUGGAAAGAAAGUAGGAUUUGAGUAAACUUGAAAAGACUGUAAGGCAGAGAUCUUUGCUACAGAAUAUGAGCAAGCUGAGAAGUGCCCAGUGGGAGCUACUCAGAUGUAUCUAUUUGGGUUUCUGGUUUGAAGGGAUACAGUCCACCAGUUCACCAUAGCAGAGAAACCAUGGUGACAGAACCAUGAGGCAUCUGGUCACACCGUAUCUGCAGGUAGGAAGCAGAGAGCGAGCAGAAAGUACCCUGGACCAUCAAACUUCAAGACGCACUCCCAGUGACCCACUUUUCCCACCAAGCGUACAUCUCUUGACAGUUCUAGAAUCUUCCAAAACAGCUAAGGACCAACUUCAAAUACAUGAACCUGUGGGGGACAUUUUACAUUCAAAGCAUGACAACACAGCCUACCUUCCCCAACACACGUGAUUUCUUCUCACCUAAUGGACCAUGAAAUAAAGCCAAGUCAGACUGUCCACAUGUACUAACUUCCAAAUCCACCCUUCAGUAUUCCUUGAGUUUGUUCUCUGGAAUGGUGUUAUGAGCUUUCUGUUACUCGAAGCCAGGGCUUCCAGCUGCUUUCUUAUGUACAUUUGAGUGUGAGGAGAGAAGUCUAUUAGUUAUAGCACAAACUAAAUGUCCAUGGAGAUAGUUUUCCAAAUCAUUUCACUAUAAUAACUGUUCCUUUAUUUUAUGCACACCAGACAGGAUGCUGAGGGAGACACAAAGUUUCAACCUUCUGUAAUCUUAGAAAAACCAUCAAACUCUCUGGGACUUGACUUAUUUGUAAAAUGAGUGAAUAGAUUAGGUAACGUAUAAUUCAGCUCUAAUAUCCUGUGGAGUUUGUAUCAUGUAGUUAGGCUUAAUGAUGCCUUUAAGGGACAAUGUUGCUGCUUUUAUGAGGGUAGGCUACUUCCUGUUAUGAAUAAACGUAUUCUUGAAAUGUCAGCUUGGGUCCAGGGUCAUCAGACGCUGCAGUCUCUUUUGAUGAAUCUCUAACGAAAACCCCAAAACUCCUGGGGUUCAAAUAAACCAAUUAAUUCUUAAAUUAUGCUCUCUUCUAUCAUGAGAUUACAAAUAGAGUUAAGAGGAAGACUGUUCAGUUCCCUCGUGUAGGUCACAGGAGUUAGGCUAACUGUAAGUGUGGUCCUGAGACCAUAACAUCUCCUUUACAACACUGCUUCAAGCCUAUCCUACCAGUCUCCAUUGUCCCACUCACCCCAAACCUGGAUAGCUGGCCCACUGCUCUUUACGCGGCCCUUGACACAAAUGGCUCUGUUUCUCCUGCCACUCGCACUCUUGCCAGGCCAUUUUCUAUGGGAGACACUAACUCUGCCUCUUCACCACUGUCACCAGCACUCGUCCUGCUCUCUGCAGAACCUGGUCACUGCUUCCCCUGCAAGAUCCUGCCCAUGGAGUCAAGUGCUCCUCAUCCCACAUCCCUACUGGCUAGGUAGGUACCAACCCUCUCUACUCUGGCCAUUAUGACUCUAUAGAAGUGUCAUAGAUACCCACCCCCAAUAUGGCUCCUGAUAUAAGAAUUGUUCUGCCAUGGAUACCAACUGAUUACCGCUUUGUUCACUCUCUUGUGAGAGUGCCUCACUGAUAGACACUAUAAUCCUAAGUCAUGACUGUCACCUGUAACAGCAACAUCUAUCCCUGAAGUUCUUACCCACAAAAUCCAUUCUCUCUUCCAAAUAUUGUACCUAUUUCUCCAUCAGGAAAUAUUUUUGCCUUUUUCAUGAUCUGCCUCUAUUCUUCAAUGAAGUUAGAGAAAUCCAGAGAGGUUGAUGUGCACUAGAAAACAUGCAUUGUGUGACAGAAUGUGCCAGGGUUCCUGGGCCCUGCCUUUGCUGCAAUAUUCUGAUCUUCUUCAUUCUUUUGUUUCUGUUUCCCAAGACAGAUCUCAGAGUAUAACUGGGCUAGCCUUCAACUCUCAGUGGUUCUUCUGUCUCCAUCUUCUGAGUGUUGUCUCCUAUGCAAGUACCAUCACCCAUCUUAGAGGAAUAAUUUAGUGUGUGUGUGUGUGUGUGUGUGUGUGUCCUUGUACAUGUGAAAGCCCAAGGUGGACAUAUCAAGUGUUCCUCAACUACUCUGCACCUUAUGCAUUGAGGCAAGGUCUCUUAAUUGAACCCAGAGCUCACUAUAUAGGCUACUCUAGCUAGGAGUUUCUGGAAUCCUUUCCCUUGGCCUUCUGAGUGCUUGAAUUAUAGGUGGGCAGCUAUGCCUUCCUGGCUUUUACCUGGGUUCUGUUAGUUCAAACUCUAGUGCUCAUGUAUGCACAGCAAACACUUUAUCCAUUGAGUGGGCGCUCUUGUUUCCUAAAACCUGCUCUCUAGAUGUUGAGAUUUAGUGCCUCACCUAUCUCUGUGGAAUGACAAGGACUCAAGGAAAGAAUGAAAGGCAUCUGUUGCUAAUCCUUUCUCUUGGGUUUCUCUGGAGAAAACGUCUUAGGCAAAUGGUCUCCCUGGAUUCUUGGAAUAAGCAUGUAAAAUAGACCCCCACAAAGGCAUUGCACACACCAUAUUAUGCACACAAUAGGAAAGCAGGAUGCACUGCCAAUUCUCAGCUAUGCGCUUAGGCAACACCUGUCUGGACACAAAGACAAGUAUGAUCAACAUGUGGAGUAGCCUUGGGUUCUAACAAAGAAAUAGCAAAGUCAAGGCCCCAGGGAACCAAAUCCAGUGCAUUCCUUUUUCCUGGGCAUUGUUUUCUGUUAUCCCAAGCUCUCUGGUUGCAUAGCUGUCUAAACACAUUCUGACAUGAAAGGGAAGUACCCUGAGCUCCCUGAGUGGUCAUGUUUGUUUAUGCUCCACCGCUGGCUUGUGUCUGCACUGUCACAUCCUGGCAGUUCAUCACAGUCACAUCCUGGCAGUCCCUGUCUAAGAUGCUGCUACAGAAAUCCACAAUUUCCUUC
This 3642-nucleotide long non-coding RNA is filed under the name Mus pahari (shrew mouse). Its description in RNAcentral is "predicted gene, 37814 (MGP_PahariEiJ_G0032910.1)". Lineage: Eukaryota; Metazoa; Chordata; Mammalia; Rodentia; Muridae. The record is from RNAcentral.